RNAcentral lists this ribosomal RNA (20 nucleotides) under uncultured Bacillus sp. Its description in RNAcentral is "partial 23S ribosomal RNA". The record is from RNAcentral. Lineage: Bacteria; Bacillati; Bacillota; Bacilli; Caryophanales; Bacillaceae.
GGUUGAGUUAGAAAGGGCGC